CCGGGCGGCCGCGGUAGCGUGAGGCUGGAGAAACGUCCCCGCUCAGUGCCGUGGUGUGUUUCAGCAGCUCGCCUUGUGCGUCUGGCGGGACAGCGGCGCACGGACGGUUCGGGCGUAGCCUGAAGAAGUGCUGAGGGCAUGGCCUGGAAGAAGGACUCGCUGUGGUAUGUGCUGAGAGAAGGUGGGCUUGGAAAGCCCUGUGGGCACACACUGCCGCUGCUCUCCGAUUCUUCUAACAUCAGUACUCCUCCCAGUUUACCUCUUGAAUUCAAUAUACAAGAUGGGACCACCAGUGCAGAAAGUGAUAUUGUUAUUCCUGGAGUAAUCAACAAUACUGGCAUGCUAACAAUGCCAGAAAGUCUUCCUGAGUAACUGUCUGAGAAGGCACCUUCACUUGUUAAUCAGACCUCAAAGUUGGCAAGGGAUUCUUCGAUGCAGAUUGAAGAGCACUUCAGAAACACCAAAAAUACUGUAGCAUGAAUGACUUCGGAGCAAGCUCUCUGUCCUGGACUUCAGGAGAGCAGAUUUCAACCUCUUCAGGGAUCUGCUUGGUAGGAUAUCAUGGCAUAAAAUCCUGGACAGGAGAGGAGCCCAAGAAAGCUGGUCAGUAUUCAAAGAUUACCUCCUCCAAGCCCAGGAGAUAGGCAUCCCAAUCAAGAGGAAGGCUGGCAAGAAUGCCAGGAAACCUGCAUGGAUGAACAAAGAAAUCCUAGAUGCUUUUAGAUGAAGAACGAAAGUCUUCAGAGGAUAGAAGCAGGGACAGGUAGCCUGGGAGAAAUACAAAGAAGUUGUCUGAGAAGCCAGGGAUCAGCUUAGGAAAGCUAAAGCCCAGUUAGAGUUAAGCCUGGCCUGGGACAUCAAGGGUAAUAAAAAGUGCUUCUACAGGUACCUCAGUGAUAAAGAGGCAGAACAGGGAAAACGUGGGCCCUCUGCAGAAGGAAACAGGAGAUCUUGUCACACAGGGUAUGGAGAAGGCUGUGGUACUGAACACAUUUUUUGCCUUAGUCUUACUGCUAAGAGCUCUGACAACACUGUCGAGGUCACAGAAGAUAAGGGUGGAGACUGGGAAAAGGAAGAUCUGCCCACUGUAGAAGAGCAGGUUUGAGACCAUCUAAAGAACCUGAAAGUGCACAAGUCCAUGGGACCUGACAAGGUCCAUCUGCAGCUCCUUGGCGAGCUGGCAGAUGAAGUUGCAAUGCCACUUUCCAUCAUAUUUGAAAAGUCAUGGCACUCUGGUGAAGUUCCCACUGGCUGGAAAAGGGGAAACAUAACUCCCAUUUUCUAAAAGGGAAGGAAAGAAGACCCAGAGAACUACAGGCCAGUCAGACUUACCUCUGUACCCAGCAAUAUCACGGCGCAGAUCCUCCUGAAAGUUCUGCUAAGGCACAUGGAAAACAUGGAGGUGGUUGGUGGCAACCAAUGUGACUUCACCAUGGGCAAAUCAUGCCUGACAAAUUUGGUGGCCUGAUAAUGUGAUGCUUUUCCACGUGACAUUUGGCCAGGAAGAUUAUUGGAAAAGCUAAUUUACAAAUGUGCUUUGAGGACCUAAUACAUUUGUGCAAGAAGGCAAAAUGUCAGUAGUAUUUUUAGGGGCAUCACCGAGCAUUGUUGUACAGUGAUGCAUAUAGACCAGGCAAAGAGAGAACCUCAAACUACAAAGACCCAUUUAUAAAAGUAUGCUUUAAAAUACUGGAUGAUUUUGUUUCCCUCAGGCAGUGGUGCAGCUCCACUCGUUUGUCUGAAUCCUGAGUUCUGCAUCAUUCAUUUUCUCAUGUUUCCGUAUGUUUCAAGCACCCAGUGAGCUCUUUGCAGGGCUUUCUUUCCAAGUGCCUACAGUUUCUCUUGUGCCUGACUCUUCAUUGCCUUCUAAGUAUGGUGCACAUCUUCAAAGUGUCUUGUUAUUCAUCCCAUCUCCUGUUUUAUGCUGAAAGCUUUUAAAUACGUUUUAAUGAUGCAUAACAGCAAUAUAAUGAGCCUAACAGCAUGCUAUUGAUUUUCAUUUGAAACACUGACAUUUGAACAUUUCAAUAGCCUUUUAACAGUGUGUAUAUUUAAUGUGAUUCAAAGACAAGGCAAAUGCAGUACAAUAUCUCUCUACUAAAAAACUCCACAAUCUCUAUCUACUGAACAUCUCCUCCCUUUGCCCACAGUCUGUUUGUUGAAAUCAGCCACAUUUUGAAGUGCAUAAUUUUCAGUGUCUUAAAACAAGCAAGGCAUAAUCCUUGGUAAAAGGAAAUAAAAAUGAAAAACACAAAAUCACUGUCUUGAGACACAGCUUUGUUUAUCUGGUCUGAUCAUGAUGAAGGUUUAAUGAACCACAUCCAGUCAGUGCUGUCAGAGAAUGAAAUGUUUUUGCUAUACAGGGAAGUGAAUUGUCCAAGGAUGCCCUCUAGGUAGGAGAUAGCUCAGUUAAGGCACACCCUACCUCAGGCAGGCUAACUGGGUGGACUGAGAAGCACAAAAAGAAAAAUUAAGGCAGCAAACAUACAUAUCAACAGUUCCCUUUGGAUGAAUAACUCAGUAGUUGCACCGUAUGAAGGGGACUGUUUUCAGGAGAGGUUUCUGAGAAAUCAGUUAGCAAGAUGUGAAGCAGCCAUACAGUACCCUGACUAGCCAGUAUGUGUGGCUACUUGCACAUAAUGCAUAGUUGUCAGGCUGUACCAGCAAUAUAUUUUCCUGUAGCACCUUGUAUUUUCAGUAAAAAAAAAUAAAAUUUCAGUGCUGUGACUUGAUUUUUCAGGCAGUAUUUAUAGGAAAUGAGUACAGGUCAAGUUUACAUCAAAUAUAAGCCUCACCCUUCUGGCUUUUCACAGCAUUACUAGUAUGCUUUACACAUCAUUUAUCUGUACAGCCACAUAAAUGUGAGUGAUGCUGUCAGGUAUUAGGAAAUACAGUUUUUGCCCUAUGGAUUAAUUGAACAUAAGGUUAGAGAGAGACACCACACAGAGAAAAACAAAAGACCAGGGAAACAAGGAAGACUUACACUUUUGUAAGGUCUUCAGUUCAUUUGCUUCCUAAUGUGCAGCUGUUGGUUUGUAACCACAUCAACCAAGAGGACCAUCUGAGUCAUGACUCAGACUUUGUUGCAGUUGAGUAUAAUUAGACAGGGGUUUUGCUGCUGAGCUUAAAAAAAAAGCUGCUUUGAUUUCCAUUUUGUUCAGAUGUUUUUCCAAUCUCUGUGGUUUUCUUUCAAGAUUAUGAUGCAAAUGAGGUUAAGAGCAAUAUUUCUGCCAUUAUGUGAGUGAUUUUGAAGUCUUAAGAUGCUUUUUAAAUUAGUAGUUCCCAGUGUGCAAGUUAGGCUGACAUUAAGAUACACGAGUCUCAGAAGUUACCUAAGAAAUUAAAAACUGUUUAACAAAUAAGGUACCUAAGACAGCCAUAGGCACGUUUUGUGAUUAAAACAUAAAUGAAGUUCUAUUUCUGCCCAUACCAGAGACAGUUACUUCUGACUAGUGACAGAGAGGAUCAAGGAGAUCAUCUUCAUUUGGUUGACAGAUUUGGAAAUAGGAAAAAUUGUCUGUCUUUAUUAGAUUAUAGUAGUAACUAGUAACUUUGCUGAAAGCAGUAGAGUGGAGCAUGGGUUUUAAACCAGUCUGAGAAGAAAUCUCAGAUGCAUAUAAUUGUAGACAAAAUAAAUAGCUGUUAUAAUUUUAUUUAAGAUAAAUCAUGUGAAUGGUCCCCUGGAAGAACCUAAUGCCCUUGGCUGACCACAGAGGGAUCGUAGAAUGUUGAGCUCAGAUGUCUCAUUUUUGACCUCUAAGUUAAGAAAGAUCAAUCCCAUUCCUAAAGUGCUGAAUCCCCUGGGGAAGCAAGAUCAAGUUUAAAGCUGAGUUGAGGCUAAAUCCCGGUAAAAGCCCCAAUGUAUCUACAGCCGAGAUACAUGUUCCUUUCCUUAUCUUCCAAUGGUGCAUUGCAUCCCUUUUUCCCAGACUGUGCUGGUCUUUCGUAGUUUAAACAUAAAUUCUUCAGGACAAGGACUGCCUCUAGUGACAGUCCUCAGUAUAGCAUUUGCUGGGACUGCAGAGUAGCCCUGAAAUGAAAAUUCCAGUGUCUCUCAGGAAGAAGGGGCUUCCGUGAAUAGGCUGUUGAAGCAAAACCCAAAAGGUACUGCAAAAGCAAAGGAGACAGACAAAACAACCACUUCUGUUCUGCCAACUUGUCAUGAGGGAAGUCCUCCUCAGCUCCUGCUGUACAAACCAUUCUCUUUUUUUGAUGUUAUGUCUGCACUGCUGUCUCACAAUAAUUAGAAGUUUCUAGAGGAUGUGGAACUAUUUUGUUCCCUGUCUGUUAAGUACGACUGUAAGGCCCAAGACCACAAUGCUGCCAGUUCAAUGAAACUGAAAGGCAGUAAAUUCAAGUCUUGUAAACAAAAAACAUUUUAUAUUCAGUGUACAUAAAAAACCUUUACUGCCACAGACUGUUGCCAAGGCCAAGGUUGUAAGGAGGCAUACAACAUCUUCAAAGGUAGCAAAAAUAUCUAGAGUUAAUGCAGGAAAGGAGAAAUUUAGAAGGAGUGGAAGUGUUUCUUCAAUUUACACAAUCUAUUAAUGACGGAUGGGACCUUUUUGGGGAUUAUUUCCUUUGAAGUAGGAGUCUUGGUCACUGUCAGACAGGAAUCUCUAGACCAUAACUCUGAUCAAAUAUAGCAAUUUCCGUGUUGCUCACUUGCACCUGAGAGAGCCUGCUGACUUCAAAGGGCACAAAGGGUUUGAUCUCAUCAUCUAUCAUCAGUGCAGAAAAAGUGCAUUCGUUCUGUGGUGGUAUGAAAAAAUGCGCAACAGGCAGUUGAUUUGCAGGCCAACAAUGUAUACACAUGGGUAAUGUGGUGUUAGUUUCCAAGACCCUACAUUUGUUGCUCUGCUGUCUUAUGCCUAAAAGGAUCCUAGGCUUUGAAAUUCACACACCUCCUGCUCUUCCUUUUAAUUCUUUACUCAAAAUCCAGUGCAAACUUCCUCUCUCAUCCUGACUAUUUAUAAGUAUGCAUAGGAACAAAUGUUUUGUAAAGAUGUGAGAGACAUUCUGCUUUAUUCCCAGGGGCAAAUAAAGCCUUUUAUUUUUAGCCCAGUUUCCUAAGGAAAUGAGACUGAUGCAAUCACAUUGUCUGUUUGUCUGUCUAUCAAAUCUGUCCCCUUACCCCCUUUCCCCCCCCCAUCGACUUCUCACCAUUAAUCUUUUCCAGCCAGAUCUGAGAGAAAGACAGAAUUAUUUCAAAAGUGCUAAAUGCACAUAAGUUUUAUGAAAAUCAGUGGCUGGGCCAGAGACCUUAGCAGUUCCCUCACUGGAGAAGUACUAGUUGAAUCCAGCAGGUAGGCAGCAACACGCUGGCAUGUCACCUUGUGCGUGGCUGUAACACUGCCAUGAUGUGUGUUGUCACCUGAAGGUGAAGAACAGGAAAGACUGGGGUGGCAGUUUGGAGGUACUUCUGGAGGGGCCGUCCUGUAUGUGUACUGUGAAGUACUUGGCAGUACUUCAGGGGUGGGGAGAGAGACAUGGCACAGGGGAAAGGAAGGGAAGGAGUGGGGUUGUUGGACAUGUGGGAGGCAGGGGACAGAGCACACUUGGGACUUUUCUUUGUAUCUCAAAGGAACCAAAUGUUAAGGUCACUUUCUGGUGAGCUUCUCAGUGGUACCUCAGGGAAUCGGGUGAAAAAGAAAUGGCAGCAUGAGAGAAGCGGUCAUCACUGGCCUUGUCAUUACCUGACCAGUCUUUCCUGGGUAGUUCCUAUCAUCAAGAAUAACAUGCAGUGGAGAAAUGGGCAGGAUCACAUGUAAAUAGUCAUUUGAUAAACCCUUUGCAAGUACAUGUGCUGCCUCAAAUGUAGAGUGCAGAUUUGCCCACAUAUUAGGUUAUGAGCAGUUUCUUGAGGUUUUCCAGUGUCAUGAACACACCAAGUAAAUUCAGACCCAGCCUGUCCCAUGGGUGCCUGACCACCUUCCUGCUCCAAUGUGUUAGAAAUGAAUUGUAGUGUUGAUUUUGCAUUCUAGUGUUAGAAAUGUAGUGUUUGGUUUGGUUCACAUAUAUAUAUUCUAGUGUUAAGACCACAUAUAGUUUGUUUGACCACAUUUAUAUUAGGACCACAUAUAGGAGUAUAUAGUUUGUUUGAGAUAUAUAUUUUAGUGUUAGGAAUAUAAUUGUUUGUUUAAGAGAUAUCUACACAUUCCAAUGACACCUGGAGUGGUUUAUGGGCCAAGAAACUGAGGGACUUAAUUGGGCUCCAUCUGGGGGAUCUGAACAUGGAGAAGGAUUUAUGGCUCAAGAUAAGGCCGAACAAAGCUACUUCUAUGUUGCUCUUCAGGGCAGGAUGACACCAGUAGAUUGUUAAUUGGGAAGACAGCCAAGGGGGCAAGAAAGGUCAAAAUUUUACCUUAAAAGGUAAAAAGUAAACUGCUAGAAUGGAAUGUGUAAACAGGGGCGGGAAACUUAUAGGAUAAUUUGAAGCGUCGGAUAGGCUGUAAACCCUGGAGUACUCAGCCAGUGGGGAAACAGGGGAGGGAAUUUUGCGUCGGGAAUAGGGAAUAUAAACCGUUAUUCACCUUGCUAUAGGUGUGCCUACUUGCUUAGGUCACCCAUUCUUGCAAGGAUGUAAAUAAACUGUGCUUCGCAGAAGGAUCUGUGUGGGCCUGCUCAUUGGCGCGACAAACGUUUCUCACAAAUGUAAGGUACAGCCCUGAGCAGCAUGUGUGUGUUUCUGUGUUGGAGGGAAGUAUGUAACUUAAGUAUUUAUUUACCUUUGCAAUGAUGUCUGGAAAAUCAUCUAGAUGCCUGGAAAGCAGUCUGAAGAUUAGCUAGGAUUAGAAGCCCAGUGAACAUGAUUUCAUAUUUCUUUUGUGACAUGUAUAUUAUCUUAUAUUUCAACAUCACAGCAUUGUCCUCAGUGACCUGUAUUUUAAGUCUUGGGAAAUGGAAGUGCCUUGGAGAUGUGUAGUGUGAUGCAACAUUUUGGGAGAAGGGCACACUCUUAAAAAGAAAAGCAAUUUUGGUUUUUAAAAAGCUUCUCCAACUUAGUUUGACAUCUGCUAAAAGCUUCCAAACAUGCUUAUUGUGAUGUUUAAGAAUUAUUUUUAUUACAGAGUAAUUGGUAAGAUCAUUUAGAGAGACUAAGCUUCCUUUAGUUCCUCCCUAUUCAACAAUAUGCUGGUCAGCAGAUAAUGAUUAAACAUCUUUUUAGCAAAGACGUAAGGUCUCUCUGGAAAGCAGCUUCUUCUGUUAGGGUGUUGCAACAUGUUGGUACCCUAAAAAUCUAUUUAGACCUGUGUUGGUGGCAUGCCUUUUCUUUAAUUGCCCUACCCUUUCUCACUAAACCUGCUUCCUAAAUUCUUUUCAGCCUAAAUCUGAAGUGUCUACAAACUAUGGUCUUGCAAGGGAUUCAGAACAGGCUAGUGGGUAGACAGGAGAUGAAAGACAUACCACAAAAGCAAUGACCCUGUCAUGAUGAACCAUGUAAAUAAGGAAAUUCUACACACACACACAGACACACACACUCUCACUGCUCCUUAACAAAAAAAGUAGUAGAGGGAGUAGAGUACAGUUUUCUUCUUAGAUAAGAUGACAGGGCAGGAAUCUGUUCAGGGAGAAUAAAGGUUUCCCAUUCUCCUGCAAAGGCUUAGUGAUCUUGGACACAGAUCCAAAUUACUGUGAAUGUGGUUGGCCUUGGAGUGUGUGGGAAAGGAAGAAGAGUCAAGAAGUACCUACAGCAUGAAAUUCUUCCUCUCACAUACACAAAGUAUGAUGCACACAAAUGUUCAGGUAUGCUACUUACAGCACAGAGAUAUGAAACUAUGUGCCAUCCCUGAGUUCUCUUGCUGUCCCUGCCUGCCACAGAAGACUG
Apus apus (common swift) is the source of this 7828-nucleotide long non-coding RNA. RefSeq lists it as uncharacterized. The record is from RefSeq and is a predicted model, not a curated record. The transcript is spliced from 3 exons. Lineage: Eukaryota; Metazoa; Chordata; Aves; Apodiformes; Apodidae.